GAAAAGCUGGUCCUGCUGUGGUGGAGAGAAUGGAGGAAAGAUAAUAAAAGGCCAAACCUUUGCUCCAACUUUCUCCUUAGCUUCCCUUUGGAUCUGGAAAGCUGGGGACCCACACGGCAGAGCCAUGGUACUGGAGGAGCCAUUAACAAAUGGAGUUUCAAUCUUGUUGCCCAGGCUGGAGUGCAAUGGUGCGAUCUCAGUUCACCGCAACCUCCGCCUCCCAGGUUCAAGUGAUUCUCCUGCCUCAGCCUCCUGAGUAGCUGGGAUUACAGGCAUGCGCCACCAUGCCCGGCUAAUUUUAUAUUGUUAGUAGAGAUGGGGUUUCUCCAUGUUGGUCAGGUUGGUCUCGAACUCCCGAUCUCAGAUGAUCCACCCGCCUCAGCCUUCCAAAGUGCUGGGAUUACAGGCGUAAGCCACCGUGCCCAGCCUUACUACUGUUCACUCUCUAAUGCUUUCCCUGCUCUCUUCCAUCACUCUCUGCAUGUUGGCAUCUCUUGGACCCACCUGACUUUCUUUGCGUCACACGCAGAAGCAGAACUCACAGGAAGGAGAAGCCUGCAUACACUAAGGGACCAGGGCUCUUGAUGUGUGAGAGGGCAGUGGAGGCAGCAUAUCUCUUACCUUCUGUGAUGGGCUGAAUUGUGGCCCCCAAAACUCCUAUGCUGCAGCCCUGACCCCCGUAUCUCGGAAUGUGAUUGUAUUUGGAGACAGGGUAUUUUAAAGAGUAAUCAAUUUAAAAUAAGGCCAUUAGGGUGGGCCCUAAUCCAUUCUGAUUGGUGUCCUUAUAAGAAAAGGAAACCAGGACACAGAUGCACAUAGAGGGAAGACUGUGCGGAGACACAAGGAGAAGACAGCCAUCUACAAGCCAAGGAGGGAGGCCUCAGAAGAAACCAACCCUGCUGACCUUUGACUUUAGACUUCCAGCCUCCAGAUAUAUGAGGAAAUUAACUUCUGUUGUUUAAGCCACCUGGUCUGUGCCAUGUGUUACAGCAGCCUGAGCUGACUCCUGCAUCUGCCAAGCCUGUGAUGUCCUCAAGAAAAGCGGAGGACAACUUCUGGCCCCAACCAAGAAAGGAGCAAGGGCAGCAACCUCACAAGCCAGAGGGGAAACAGCCUUCCCAGACCAGGGGGUGCUGGCAAACAAGGCAAGCUCCUCUUUUCCAUCUGCUUUCCAUUCUCCCGUGACUGGCCUUAGAGCAGACUGUGCUGCUGCAGGCAUCUCUGUGCUGUCAGGGAGUGUGCUCAGGUCUCCCUUCAAGAGAACCUGGUGCAAGAAGCCUCCAGCCUCCUGCUGCUAUAUUUUGGUUGUGUUGGGUGUUCACACUGCCCCAUGCUGCUCCCAGCCAAUGACUGAGCACAGAGGGUGCCAGAAACAGGGCUAGAAACAGGCCACUGUGCCUGAUGUGAGGCCUCGCUAAGAGGCGAGCUCUGUUCUGGGACACUAAGCCUGGCGGGGACAUCCUGGAGCUGCACCACAGUUUGAGGAUCAUCCUACCUGAUCCUCUUCCCAGCCUGCUCUCCUUUCCCAGGUGUCUGACCUGCACUGCAGUCUGAAGUCUCUCCUGACCACUCCUUCUGCCCGCUCUUCAUCCUUCACAGGUGUGGUGUUUCCCACAAUGCCUCUGCAGGUCUAAUCUUGUCUUGGCCUCUGCUUCUCAACAAAUCUGGCUGCCCCUAGUUGUCCUUCCUUCAAUUCAUCCUCCACACUGUUAGAGUCCUCCUCCUUUCUAAAGUCCAGAUCUGAUCUUGUCACGCUCUGCUUCCAUUCUUUCCAAGAUGUCUGUUUACUUACAAGAUAAAUUAGAAGCUUAUGUCUCUUGAGACUCAGCCUGUGCUCAACUGUCCACUCUCUUAUUCCCUACCCAAGGCCCCAUCUUGACAGCCACAUGGAACUAUCUACACUCUAGUCUAAACGUCAAUGCCGCUUCACAUCAAGGCCUGUGGACAUAUAACGCCUCCUUUUUGGAACAUCUUUCUCCAUUCUCAUCACCCCUUCCUGCCGCACACUCACUCACUCAUACACACACACUUCUCCCAGUGAUCUUUAAAUUCCUAUUAAGAUCCAUGCAAAUGUUCCCUUCUCGAUAGAGGUUUCCUGGACACACCCAAGCAGAGGAAAUCAUGCCUCUCUUUGUGCUAUUUUUAGCACUUACUAAUAUCUCUUAUGACAUUUAUCAAACUGUCCCACAAUUCUUUGUCUUUUAGGGAAGCCUUUAGGGUAGGCAUAAAGUCAUUUCUGUAUCUCCAACACUAGCAUAGUACAUCGUGUAAUGUUAAGUAUGUCUAUAUGGGUACAUAUGCAUACACACACAUGUGUGUAGGAAACAUAACGACAUGGCUGGGCGCGGUGGCUCACGCCUGUAAUCCCAGCACUCUGGGAGGCUGAGGUGGGAGGAUCACGAGGUCAAGAGAUGGAGACCAUCCUGGACAACAUGGUGAAACCCCGUUUCUACUAAAAAUACAAAACUUAGCUGGGUGUGGUGGCACGUGCCUGUAGUCCCAACUACUUGGGAGGCUGAGGCAGGAGAAUCGCUUGAACCCGGGAGGCAGAGGUUGCAGUGAGCUGAGAUUGCACCACUGUACUCCAGCCUGGUGACAGAGUGAGACUCCGUCUCAAAAAAAUAAAAAAAGAAAAAAAGAAACAUAUCAACAUUAGAGUUUCUAGCUUAUAUCCCAAUAUCUUGGCCAUUCAUUAGAACCCUGGUUAGGCUCCUCUCUUAUCAACUUACCCUCAUGACCAGCUUCUGCCUCCUGUUCCCAUCAGAGGAGGUUUAAGGCCAAUUAGCAACAUGUGUCUUUCAUCCUUUUCUUUUCUUCUACUGUGGAGGUUCAUCACAGCACUUCUAUCAGUUCACCAGAUGAAAGAGGCAUCCAUCUGUGCCUCUUCAUCUGUUGGUUGUAAUGCAGCACAUAUGAUAAGUGGGUAUUGAGUGGACCUGGACUGGAGUCACAAUCACUGAUUAUGUGCUGGAAGUCAGAGGGGGACAGGGAAAGUCCCCCUUUCCUAGGAAAAGGGUCCUCAAGUUGCCAAGAAAAGCAAGAGAUCAAAUUCCCCCGAGGAGUGGAUUUCUGACCACUCCUUGGUUUGUUUUUUGUUUUUGUUUUGUUUUGUUUGUUUUUUGCUUGAGUUAAUUUAAGUUAGUUUCUAUUACUUGCAACUAAGAAGUUUUAAUGAAUUCACUUGAAAUACUAUUGUUAGGAAGGAAACAACUUGCUUGAGAGGUCAAGCUUAGGCUGAAAGUCAACAUUGGCCAAGGCACUUAGAGAGCAAUUAAUCCUCGUGGCAAGGCAGGGAUGGGGUGGAGGGGAUAGAUGAUUCCUAAGGUCCUUUCUAAGAGGAUAAGAGUGCUUCCCCUGGUCAGUGGUUCUGGCUAGUCUCCUCCCUCCCUUCAAAAUGCGAAGCAAAAGGCAGGGAGAAGGUCUCCUUGCAGAUCUUCAGCUCUCUCAGGGAAAGAGACCCACGUCACUCCCAGCAGAGUCCUGCAUGGCAGCAAGGGGCCAGGGCGGAAGAAGAACAAAAGACACCUGGAGAAGAAAGGCAGUGCCUUUCCCUGCAGCAGCCAGGGCUGCAGAUAUGAUGGAGCAGGGGAGAUGGUCUCUUCUAGAGCAGCAUGAGCCGAGUUACACAGAUGAUGUAAGGAAGAAGUAGAGAAACUGCAGUCUCAGCUCAGAGUUUUCCUUACAUGCUUGUGAAAAUAAAGUCACCCUCUGUUGCAGGCUGAAUAAUGGCCCCCCAGGAUGUCCACAUUCUAAUCCCUGGAACCUGUCCAUGUUUUAUUAUAUGGCAAAAGAGACUUUGUAGAUGUGAUUAAAUUAAGGCUCUUGAGAUUGGGAGAUUAUCCUGGAUUAUCAGAGUAGGCUUGAUGUAAUCACAAGAGUCCUUCUAAGAGAAAAGCAGGAUGCAGCCCCCUGAUGACAGAAGCAGAGAGGAAAGCAGAGUUGGAGACAGAAGACGCUAUGCUAUUGGCUUCCUAAAGACAGAGGAAAGGGCCACAAACCAAAGAAUACACUUGUAUUCUUCAGUAAAUAGCAGCUGCCUUGGAGUGUUGCUUGAUUCAAUACAUGUAAUAGUAAUCGUUCAAUAAAUGCUUGCUAUUAUACCCUUGGAUGUCUUAGAGCUGCACUGUCCAAUAUGGUAGCCACAAGCCACAUGUGACCAUUCGACACAGGUGUGGAUUUUCCGAAUUGAGGUAUGCUGUAUGUGUAAAAUAACACACCAAAAUUCAGAUACUGAGUACAAAACAAAGAAUGUAAAAUAGCUCAGUAAUCUUAAUAUUAAUUAUUUGUUGAAAUAACAUUUUUAACACAUCCAAUUAAAUAAAAUAUAUUAAAAUUAAAUUUCACCUUUUUUUAGUGUAGCUACUAGAAACUUUAAAAUUCUAUAUGUUGCUCACAUUAUAUUUCUUUCAGACAGUGCUCUUUUGAGUCUCUGACCCGUUACUGAAUAGAACAGUCUAGAAGCAAGCCCUACACAUUUAGGGAAAGUGAUGUCAUACACUGACUUCUUUACAGUCACCCCGGUACUCAUCUGCUCCUUGGGCUCUGAAUUUCUACAAUGCUGACUGAGGAACAUCCCCGAGCACACCGUUAAUUCUGGACUGACAGGUACAACUAAACCAAGAGAGGGAAUUCAGUUGGCCUCAGAGACAACACAGGCCCCUGCACCAGGACAGAAGGAAGUAAUCGCUCCUUUCUCUUUUAAAUGUCCAAUAAGUUCAGAGCACCACACCCCCACACAGUGCCUCAGUGGGCACCUGUACGUACACUCCAUGAGGUGGCUAUUCCUUUAAUCCCUACCAUCUGCUCCAAAAUGUUUAUCCAACAGUUUGCCAUGGUGCUUGAACUUCUAUCAUUUGGGUGCCUCUUUGGAACAGGAAAUUUAACUCUGUCUGGUGACCGUGCACAGGAUUUAUAGCUGUUGAGCCUCAGGAGCCAUCAGGAACUGAGCUUGCUUUCUUUCCUUCUCUGGCCCUGCCCAUUCACUUUCUGUCCAAGAGUGGCCCUAAACCAGAAGAAACCUCCCAACUCCCUUCUCCUGAUAGUCCCUAAAGACCACACACAUGGUCUGCUUCCUUAUGAAAGGCUCCACUGCCAAUCACUGCAGUGAUACUGAUGACAAAGGAUGGCAACAAUAACAAAGCUAGGCAAGCUUCAAGGGCUCCAGAAUCUUACUCAGGUAUCUCAGCCACGAGCCCGGGUCUAGGGGGACUGAAAGGGACUUUGGCCACUGCCAUUAUUCUUGAGAGUGGAGCUCUCCACCCAGUGCCUGAAAGUAAAGGAGAUGCGGGUUCAGCCCAUUCUCCACUUUGUAGGCGUGAAGAUGCAGCAGAGGCAGAAGAACAGCUGCUGCCCUCAGGGACAAGUGUGCAAUUUCUACCUAAGAGGCCUCUAGGCUGCGUGAUGUGCAUUUCACAGGUUCUCGGCCUCUACCUCUUGAUGUUCCUCACAAUGUCCACUAAAAACUGUGUUUCUAAUUAAAAAUAGAAUUACCAUAAGAUCCAGCAAUUUCAUUAUUGAGUAUAUACCCGAGAGAAUUGAAAUCAGGGACACAGACAGAUAUUUGUACACCCAUGUUCAUAGCAGCAUUAUUCAAAAUAGCCAAAAGGUAGACACAACCCAGUGUCCUUCGACAGAUGGAUAAACAGGAUGUGGUAUAUACAUACAAUUGAAUAUUAUUCAGCCUUAAAAGGGAAGGAAAUUCUGAUAAAUGCUUCAACACGGAUGGACCUUGAGGACCUAAUGCUAAGCAAAAAAGCCAGACACAAAAGGAUAAAUAUUGUAUCACUCCAUUUAUAUGACGUACCUUGACUAGUCAAUUUCACAAAGACAGAAAGUAGGUUAAGGUUGCCAGGAGCUGGGCAAGGGGUCACUGGGGACCAAUUUUUUGAUGGGUACAGAGUUUAAAGGGCAAGAUAAAAAGAGUUCUGGAGAUGGACAGUGGUGAUGGUUGCACAACUAUGUGAAUGUACUCAAUGCCACUGAAAUGUACACUUAAAAAUGUACAUUGUAAAUGGUAAAUUCUGUUAUGUGUAUUUUAUCACUUUUUUAAAAGUACCUCUAAUUUUUUAAAAAUCUGUUCUUAUAACAUUUCUAACCAGAGCCAGGUUGCAAUCAAAUAUGUUUUCAAGUAUACCAAUUUGAGAAAACUCAUUCCCCACUCCUCACACUCCCUAAUGGAAGAACCUCCACCAGGGAAACCCCCUACCCCCACCAAACUCUCUCAGUUCUAGGCACUCCUCCCCAAGGGUGGGCUUCAUUCAGAUGUGCCUUUGUCUCUCCUUAGAAUCUGCUGGCCACCUGGGAGGUGCAUACUUAUCUGAUCUCAGGGGCCUGGAUGCUUCCACCCAGAACCCACAGGGGAGGCCUGCACUUUGGCAAUAAGUUUACAUCAGGGGCUGUUAGCAAGGCAAGCACAUGUGGGUGCAUGCCUGACAUCAGAUUCUGUUAGUAAUAAAGCUGAUAGUUUUAUUACCAUCUUCUUGACUACUGAUAAUAAGGAGAUGAGAUCACGGUUAUCAGGACCUAUGAACUUGGAGAAAAGUCUUUAACCACCGAGUUAAGUUCCCUCUAAUUCUCUUUAUCAAGAACUUUGAUUCAGAACCAGGCCAGAAAGAAAAAAGGUCUUAUUCAUUGAUUCCCUAAAAUCCAAGCAUGACCAGUGUUAGACCAGAAAGUGAAGUCCAGGGUUUUCCGCUGGACCUAAGUUUCAGCAGCCUUGUCUAAGGAAGGUGGUUACUAAAUGCUGGUUAUUAAGCUAUUGUCUCUAGGAUCUAAAUCUACCCUUUUGCACUUGUUUUGUGAUGCUGGAUCCAGGACUCUGGUAAGCAUAUUUCUCCAUUGCCAGCUUGCUCGCUGUCAGGUUCUGCUGACAGGGAUGUUGGAGAGAGACUGGAAGGCAAGAGAAGGAAGAACUGUCCUUCCUAUCAGCUGGCUACUCCUGGCAAUAGGCCCAGGAAUGGUCCUUCAUCCUAGCAGCAGGUUGUCCCAGUCACCAGCUUCUUUUAGCGCCCUCAAAACAAGCCUCAUGACACCUCCUCAGAAGGACCGUGUGAGUGAGGCAGCACCCACUCUACAGAGAUCUGAGCUCUGCAGGGCCCCUCCGUGAUAAACAGAAUCAGUCAGAGGGGGACUUAACUCAGUGGCUAAGGACUUUUCUCCAAGUAUGGAGGUCCUGAUAACCCUGACUUCAUUAACCCUUUAUUGCCCUAGCCAGUGGGGUGGGAGGGAGAGAUUGUUUCCUGCCCUUUUUUCGUUGUUAUAUCACUAUUGUCUUGUUUUGCUUUUUUUUAGUCCACCAAUAACUAUUUAAUUUCCUAUAUUAAACAUUUCCUGUUAAAUACCUAGUGUGGUUGCUGUUUUUCUGACUGGGCCCUGAGUACUUUCUGGGGUUGAGGUCCAUGGCAGAUAGCCCUUAGGGUGACUCUCAUGACUCCUGUCUCUGGUGUCCAUGGCCUGUAUAAUCUCUUCCUUUUGAGUGGAGGUGAGACGUGUUGACGUGGGUCUACCCAUAGAAUGUGGCAAAGGUGAAAGGACUUUGCAGAUGGAGUUAAGGUCCCAAAGCAGUUGACUUUGAGUUAACAAAAAGGGAGGUGAUCUGGAACGAGCCUGACUUAAUCAGGUGAAAGACCUUGAAAGAGGAACCCUGGCCCUCCCUGAGAUUGAAGAGAUUCUCCUUGCUGAAGUAGCAGCCAUUCUGAGGAAGCCUCCAUGGAAAAGAACUGAGAAUGGCCCCCAAGACCAGAGGAAGCCUCCAGCUGACAGCAAGCAAAACCCCAGGCUCUCAGCCAUACCACCACAAUAAAAUAAAUUUGGCCAACAACUUGAGUGAGGUAGGAAGCAGAUUUUCCCCCAGCAGAGCCUCCAGAUGAAAACUUUGGCUGAAGUUUCAGUCCAGCUGAAGCCUCAACUGCAGUCUCAUGAGACUCUGAGCAGAGGACUCAGGUAGACCACACCUAGACUCCUGACCCACAGAAGCCAAGUUGAUAAAUGUGUGCAUUGUUGGGAGCUGCUUGAUGUGUUGGUGAUCUGCUAUGCAGCAAUAGAAACUAAUACAACAUCUAAAGACUUCAUAUGAGGCAAACUAAACACUGUUCCAAGUACCCAUGAAAAUCCCAGAAGAGCUGACACCAACAGCCCAACACAGCCAGGUUUUUUCUUCCAGAUUGGGACUUACAGUACCAAUCAAAGAAGGUGGCUUUCAUUUAGGAACCAUGUGGUUCAAAACUACAAGUGUUUUUAAACAUUAGAAUCACACUCAGCAUACUAAGAUAUCACACAAGAUAACUGAGAUUUAGGCAAAGCCGAUUUGCCUCUCCUUCUCACUCUCAUUCUGUGGUGUAUAUUCAUUGAAUGGAAUAGCAGGUGGAGAUUCUCUUACUAUUUAAAGUGUUCUCUUGCUCACCGGGCACACUGGCACAUGCCUGUAAUCCCAGCACUUUGGGAGGCCAAGGUGGACCUCCCACUUGAGGUCAGGAGUUUGAGACCAGCCUGGCCAACGUGGUGAAACCCCAUCUCUACUAAAAAUACAAAAAUUAGCCAGAUGUGGUGGUGCAUGCCUGUAAUCCCAGCUACUUGGGAGGCUGAGGCAGGAAAGUCACUUGAACCUGGGAGGCAGAGGUUGCAGUGAGCCAACAUUGUGCCACUGCACUCCAGCCUGGGCAAUAGAGACUCCAUCUCAAAAAAUAAUAAUAAUAAUAAUAAUAAUAGUACAGUGUUCCCUUGCUCAAUACAUAGUUGGGUUUGCUUAAGUUAAACAAGCAUAUAAUGUAAUUCCUUAUUUGAGAUUUUGUGUUUGCAUUUUUAAAUUAAUAAGACAUUUGUGAUAAAUUUUGGAGAAGCUUCUUUUACACUUUAAGACAUCUAGUUUAGCCAAGACCAUAUUGAACCUGCCCAUAGUCCAUUGACAAGAGAAAUGAAAAUCCUCUUUCAGGAGGUAGCUGCAAAAGAAUAUGAAUGCUUCUUUGGGCCCUCUAUGUAAAACAUGGCAACAAAAGGACUCAAGCCAGAUCUUCUAUCUCCAUCCAUCUCAGAAAGAAUAAUUCAUAAUGAGCGAAAAACAGCAAAAUUGUGUCACUAAAAUGACCUGAGACUUGGAAUUAGGCAAAAGAAAAUUCUAAGUGUUCUUUCAGUGCAGUACAGGGCAUGAUUUCUAUGGACUAUGUUAUUUUACAAUACUGUAGGAAUACACCAGGCACAGUGGUUCGUGCCUGUAAUCCCAGAAAUUUGGGAGCCUGAGGCAGGAGGAUCCCUUGAUCCCAGGAAGGACCAACCUGGGCAACACAGUGAGACUCUGAGAGACAAGCGCUGGACACAGGAGCAGGCCACAUGGGAUGGUCUGGACAGGCUCUGCAGCACAGCAGCCUUCAUGAGAAACAGGCAGAAGGGCCCGGGCAUGAGAAGCUACUGCAAACAAAAAGCAGCAGCAGCUAUAAAGGGCUUGUUCCCAAGCAACAUGAAUCAUCUCUGAACUGGUCUGGUCCAAUCCCUAUAGUCUAACUAGCAAAUAUAUUUUUUAAAAUAUUAGCAAACACACACACUAAAAACAGAUUUUCAUCUUUGCCAAGUGUGUGUUUUUUUCCUACACCAACCUAUUAUCCAAUUCUCCUACAACAACUGAGUAUCCUAUAAUUCAGUUCAACUCUGAGACUCAGUGGCGGGCAGACUCCACAGGCUUAAGGGCACAGUCCCAUAGGAUUGCCCUCACUUCUGAUGCCAGUCACAAGCAUCAGAUCUCCAGGCUACCCACAUUUGCAUCUGACUUGGCUACAAAGUCAGGCUUCCCACACCCCACCCCUUGCCAGGGUUCAAUAAUUUGCUAGAAUGACUCAUAGAACUCAGGGGCCACUUUACUUACAUUUACCGAUUUAUUAUAAAGGAUACAAAUGAAGAGCCAAAGGAACAGGCCCAGAAGAUGAGGUCCGGGAGGGUCCGGAGCACAGGGCUUCUGUCCCCAUGGAGUUGGGAUACACCAUCCUCCCAGUAUGUGAACGUGUUCACCAACUCAGAACCUCAUUGUUUAAAGGUUUUUAUGGAGCUUUUAUUACAUAGGGAUGAUUGAUGGAAUCAUUGGUCAUUGGUGACUAAAUUCAAUCUCCAGCCCCUCUCCCUUCCCCAUAUGAGGAGGGGGUGGAGCUGAAACUUCUGAGCUUUAUCAGAACUUGAUCAGAACUAGCUCCCAUCUUAAAGUGAUCUAGGGGACCCUGCCAAGAGUCACCUCAUUAGCACAAACACAGAUUGCUGAAAGGGGUGCAUAAUGAAUAAC
Molecule: long non-coding RNA, 10261 nt
Filed under: Homo sapiens (human)
Lineage: Eukaryota; Metazoa; Chordata; Mammalia; Primates; Hominidae
Description: non-protein coding LINC01133:7
Source: RNAcentral